This is a long non-coding RNA of Athene cunicularia (burrowing owl), 231 nucleotides long. RefSeq lists it as uncharacterized. NCBI's taxonomy places the organism in Eukaryota, Metazoa, Chordata, Aves, Strigiformes, Strigidae. The transcript has 4 exons. The record is from RefSeq and is a predicted model, not a curated record.
AAUCCAACAGGAGAAUGAAACCAGAAAUUUUCCGCUCAAAACAAAUGUGCCAGCUAUUCUGGCCUGUCGAUCUCUGGUAUGUAAGGCUGGACUCACUUGCAGCGACUCUGGAAGCCUCACCUCUGGGUGGAUGCACCGCGUAGGAUUUCCCGCUUGCUGGGACAGGUUCUCCAAAUCCUCGCUGAGACCAGGGCUGCCCAGCGACUGUGGAUCGCAGAUCUCAGUGCUUCC